Molecule: ribosomal RNA, 440 nt
Filed under: uncultured bacterium
Lineage: Bacteria
Description: partial 16S ribosomal RNA
Rfam family: Bacterial small subunit ribosomal RNA
Source: RNAcentral
CCUACGGGAGGCUGCAGUGGGGGAUAUUGCACAAUGGGGGGAACCCUGAUGCAGCGACGCCGCGUGGGUGCAGAAGGGCCUCGGCGCGUAAAGCCCUGUCAGCAGGGAAGAACAUGACGGUACCUGAAGAAGAAGCACCGGCGAACUACGUGCUAGCAACCGCGGUCAUACGUCGGGGGCAAGCGUUAUCCGGAUUUAAUGGGUGUAAAGGGGGCGCAGACCGCGAUGCAAGCCAGGAGUGAAAGCAAGGGGCCCAACCCCGAGACUGCUCGUGGAACUGCGUGGCUUGAGUGCAGGAGGGGCAGGCGGAAUUCCUGGUGUAGCGGUGAAAUGCGGAGAUAUCAGGAGGAACACCGGUGGCGAAGGCGGCCUGCUGGACUGCAACUGACGUUGAGGCCCGAAAGCGUGGGGAGCAAACAGGAUUAGAUACCCUUGUAGUC